GAGAGUUAAACAGUACGUGAAAUUGUUGAAAGGGAAACGAUUGAAGCCAGUCGUACCAGCGGAUAAUCAGCCUUUAGAUGCGAUUUUGUGGAGCGUGAAGAGCUAAUCGCCUUCAUGCCUGUAUAUUCGUGUACUUGGGGUGUACUUAUUCGUGUGGUAAGUUAACAUCAAUUUUGGUUGUCAUAAAAUGAUUAGAGGAAUGUAGCUUCGAUCUCGUAUUGAAGUGUUAUAGCCUUUGGUAGAUGUGACGAUCGGGAUUGAGGAUUGCAACGGAUACCCUUCGGGGCUACCUGUCUGAUCUCUGAUUGUUGCUUUGGUGCUGAAAGCUUGCUUAUGGUUAUCAAAGUCGAUGGUCAAUAGGUUAGAAUGGGUUAAAUUCGUUAAGGAUGUUGACGUAAUGGCUUUAAACGA
Molecule: ribosomal RNA, 411 nt
Filed under: uncultured Rhizophagus
Lineage: Eukaryota; Fungi; Glomeromycota; Glomeromycetes; Glomerales; Glomeraceae
Description: partial 28S ribosomal RNA
Source: RNAcentral